RNAcentral lists this long non-coding RNA (879 nucleotides) under Homo sapiens (human). RNAcentral describes it as "non-protein coding lnc-SIRT3-2:1". Lineage: Eukaryota; Metazoa; Chordata; Mammalia; Primates; Hominidae. The record is from RNAcentral.
AUGGCAUUCUGUGCCAUCCUCCUUGUCCCCAGCCUCUGCAGGAUGCCCUCCCUACCCACCUCUCCCUGGGCCUUCCCUGUCCACUGGGCUGGAUUCAUGUUCAAACCACUGGACUGGCAGGGCAACGACUUCUUCCCACCUCAAGAUGAGGUCCUCGCCCCCUUGUCUUGGCAUAAAAACACCUUUAAAGCAUGAGCCAUGUGCUUCUUUGCCCUUCUCUGUCCUGUUCCAAUCUUCUGCCUCCCAGUCACUCCCUGGGGACUAUGGGAUCACUGUCCCCCCACCUGUGUGGCCACACCAUAUGUCCUGUCAAUCCAGAACUGCCUCUGAGCUCCAGGCUGACCACAGAUCAGCCACAGCCUGAUGCCUGCAGCCCCACUUUGCUCACCCUUCCCCUCCCCUCCUCCUUCCUUCCACACAGCAAGCCUACCUUUCUCCAUCCAUGCUCACCAUAGCCCCCUUCCUUGUGACCUGGACCCUCCAUUGUACCUGGCUGAGACUGUCAGCCUCCUGGAGGAGUGGGGUCCACCUUCUUCUUGCCCUAUGCAGUGCAAGCUCACUUCUCACCCAGCAAGGUUGACUCAUCUGCCUCCAUGUCUCUGGGGCUUUGCUGUUGCCCUGAAACCUAGCUGGGCUGGUCUUGCUCCCAGCUUGCUUCCCCCUCCUCGGAUGUCCCUUUGCAGGCCCCUGUCGUUCCUCCGGCACCAGUGUCCUUGGCUGCCAUGGCAAGCUCAUCAGGGGCUUGUACCCUGGUCACCAAGCAUGGUAGCAGCUGCCUGCAUUGUAUCUCCAUCUGGUCACUGCAGGUGCCAACCCUUCAUCCCCCAUGUUUUCCUGGGCCAUGGAGGGCUGACCUCCGUUUCUGGGGAAUGUGGCUGA